RNAcentral lists this small nucleolar RNA (93 nucleotides) under Komagataella phaffii GS115. RNAcentral's name for it is "small nucleolar RNA snR48". Lineage: Eukaryota; Fungi; Ascomycota; Pichiomycetes; Pichiales; Pichiaceae. The record is from RNAcentral.
GUAUGAUGAAUAUCUGAUAUAUGUUUUUCUGGCAUCUCUAAUGUUAGGACUUUAACGGGUCCAAUGAAUAGAACGUAAGUCACCUGUCUGAUU